RNAcentral lists this unclassified non-coding RNA (292 nucleotides) under Hevea brasiliensis (rubber tree). The record is from RNAcentral. Lineage: Eukaryota; Viridiplantae; Streptophyta; Magnoliopsida; Malpighiales; Euphorbiaceae.
CCCACUUUUCCACUAGUGUGGUAUUGGAAGAGGAUGGAAGUGUGGAAGGAUUGGCAGGUGGAGAUGAGUCAAACUGAGUUGCUUGGAGCAAGGCUAUGAGGCUUUGACACUGUUCCUGAGUCAAAGAAAUUCCAGAACUGUUGAGAUUUACUUUGGCAGAAGCAGCAGGAUCUGAUUGCAGAGAAUUAAAAAAAAUCAUCUGAUCUUGCGAUCUGAUUCGCAGCAGCAGGAUAGAUUCUCUGUUUAUACCCACAAGGAAACCCAUGCUUUUUGUAACAUGUUUCAACAGUUU